AGUGAACGCUGGCGGUAGGCCUAACACAUGCAAGUCGAACGGCAGCACAGUAAGAGCUUGCUCUUACGGGUGGCGAGUGGCGGACGGGUGAGGAAUACAUCGGAAUCUACUUUUUCGUGGGGGAUAACGUAGGGAAACUUACGCCAAUACCGCAUACGACCUACGGGUGAAAGCAGGGGAUCUUCGGACCUUGCGCGAUUGAAUGAGCCGAUGUCGGAUUAGCUAGUUGGCGGGGUAAAGGUCCACCAAGGCGACGAUCCGUAGCUGGUCUGAGAGGAUGAUCAGCCACACUGGAACUGAGACACGGUCCAGACUCCUACGGGAGGCAGCAGUGGGGAAUAUUGGACAAUGGGCGCAAGCCUGAUCCAGCCAUACCGCGUGGGUGAAGAAGGCCUUCGGGUUGUAAAGCCCUUUUGUUGGGAAAGAAAAGCAGCAGGUUAAUACCCCGCUGUUCUGACGGUACCCAAAGAAUAAGCACCGGCUAACUUCGUG
This 492-nucleotide ribosomal RNA is filed under the name uncultured bacterium. RNAcentral describes it as "partial 16S ribosomal RNA". It matches the Rfam family "Bacterial small subunit ribosomal RNA", at positions 29 to 507 of the family's 1533-position model. The record is from RNAcentral.